CCUUAGCUAUCAGAGGGAGAGCACACAAAGAGCAGAAGAUGAGGAAGAGGACAAGAUGACACAGGAGAGGUGACUGAUGCCCGGUAAGAAGGUGAACAUGACAUAUACACCCGUCAGCAGCAAGAAAGGAACCACGAGACAGGUGACUGAUACCCGGUGAGAAGAUGAACGUGACAUAUACCCGCGUCAGCUGCAAAAAAGAAAUCACGGGACAGGUGACUGAUGCUUGGUGAAAAGGUGAACUUGACAUAUACCCGCGUCAGCUGCAAAAAAGGAACCAUGAGACAGGU
This is a long non-coding RNA of Hyla sarda, 290 nucleotides long. RefSeq lists it as uncharacterized. The transcript is spliced from 4 exons. Lineage: Eukaryota; Metazoa; Chordata; Amphibia; Anura; Hylidae. The record is from RefSeq and is a predicted model, not a curated record.